Small nuclear RNA from Rattus norvegicus (Norway rat), 95 nucleotides. Ensembl annotates it as U2 spliceosomal RNA. The record is from Ensembl. Lineage: Eukaryota; Metazoa; Chordata; Mammalia; Rodentia; Muridae.
AUCGCUUCUCGGCCUUUUGGCUAAGAUCAAGUGUAGUAUAAGUAAAAAUGUUUGCUGAAAAAGUCUAUCAUCCUGAGUUUGAGCCCCAAUCCCAU